CGGCCGGGGGGGCGGGGCUAUACAUGCAGUAGACGCUGAGGAGAGAGCUUGCUCUUCUGGAUGAGUUGCGAACGGGUGAGUAACGCGUAGGUAACCUGCCUGGUAGCGGGGGAUAACUAUUGGAAACGAUAGCUAAUACCGCAUAACAUUGACUAUUGCAUGAUAGUCAAUUGAAAGGUGCAAAUGCACCACUACCAGAUGGACCUGCGUUGUAUUAGCUAGUUGGUGGGGUAACGGCUCACCAAGGCGACGAUACAUAGCCGACCUGAGAGGGUGAUCGGCCACACUGGGACUGAGACACGGCCCAGACUCCUACGGGAGGCAGCAGUAGGGAAUCUUCGGCAAUGGACGAAAGUCCUGACCGAAGCAAACGCCGCGUGAGUGAAAGAAAGGGUUUCGGAAUCGUAAAGCUCUGUUGUAAGAGAAGAACGAGUGUGAGAGUGGAAAGUUCACACUGUGACGGGUAUCUUACCAGAAAGGGACGGGCUAACUACGUGCCCAGCAGCCGCGGUAAUACGUAGGUCCCGAGCGUUGUCCGGAUUUAUUGGGCGUAAAGCGAGCGCAGGCGGGUUAGAUAAGUCUGAAGUUAAAGGCUGUGGCUUAACCAUAGUACGCUUUGGAAACUGUUUAACUUGAGUGCAGAAGGGGAGAGUGGAAUUCCAUGUGUAGCGGUGAAAUGCGUAGAUAUAUGGAGGAACACCGGUGGCGAAAGCGGCUCUCUGGUCUGUAACUGACGCUGAGGCUCGAAAGCGUGGGGAGCAAACAGGAUUAGAUACCCUGGUAGUCCACGCCGUAAACGAUGAGUGCUAGGUGUUGGGUCCUUUCCGGGACUCACUGCCGCAGCUAACGCAUUAAGCACUCCGCCUGGGGAGUACGACCGCAAGGUUGAAACUCAAAGGAAUUGACGGGGGCCCGCACAAGCGGUGGAGCAUGUGGUUUAAUUCAAAGCCAACGCCAAAGAACCUUACCAGGUCUUGGACAUCCCCGGUGCCCGUUCCUAAAUCAUAGGAUUUUUGACUUCCGGCACACCUAGCGAACAGGAGGAUAGCAUGGUUGUCGCCAGCUCGUGUCGUGAGAUGUUGGGUUAAGUCCCGCAACGAGCGCAACCCUUAUUGUUAGUUGCCAUCAUUUAGUUGGGCACUCUAGCGAGACUGCCGGUAAUAAACCGGAGGAAGGUGGGGAUGACGUCAAAUCAUCAUGCCCCUUAUGACCUGGGCUACACACGUGCUACAAUGGCUGGUACAACGAGUCGCAAGUCGGUGACGGCAAGCUAAUCUCUUAAAGCCAGUCUCAGUUCGGAUUGUAGGCUGCAACUCGCCUACAUGAAGUCGGAAUCGCUAGUAAUCGCGGAUCAGCACGCCGCGGUGAAUACGUUCCCGGGCCUUGUACACACCGCCCGUCACACCACGAGAGUUUGUAACACCCGAAGUCGGUGAGGUAACCUAUAGGAGCCAGCCGCCUAAAGGUGGGUAUUAGUU
RNAcentral lists this ribosomal RNA (1478 nucleotides) under Streptococcus sp. RNAcentral describes it as "bacterial SSU rRNA". It matches the Rfam family "Bacterial small subunit ribosomal RNA". The record is from RNAcentral. Lineage: Bacteria; Bacillati; Bacillota; Bacilli; Lactobacillales; Streptococcaceae.